This is a small nuclear RNA of Dromiciops gliroides (monito del monte), 106 nucleotides long. NCBI's taxonomy places the organism in Eukaryota, Metazoa, Chordata, Mammalia, Microbiotheria, Microbiotheriidae. The record is from RefSeq and is a predicted model, not a curated record.
AUGCUCACUUUGGCAGCACAUAUACUAAAAUUGGAAUGAUACAGAAAAGAUUAGCAUGGACCCUGUGAAAGAUGACACACAAAUUUGUGAUAAGAAUAAAGGACAA